UGAGGGGCUAGACCAGGGCUUUCUCAGGCUCACCGUUUCUGGCCUGUGGCUAAACCUUUUGGCCUCUCCUCCACAUUAUCUCCAAGGAGGAAUUACACGGGAUUUAGGUCCAUUUAAGAAAGCGUCCUUCUAAUUUCCUGGGACUUAGAGCUCCUUCAGGCUCUCUCGGCGACCCCUAGUCUCUAAGUAGAAGGUGAUUUGAUUCGAGAUGCCGUUUGCUAAUUGGAACCCUCCAGCUCUUCGGUUACACAAGAAUCCAGGGCACCACCUGACCCUCUGCAAAGCCGGCUGGGUUUUUAAAAGAUAGAAAUGUGGGGCUCAGGGAGUUUAAGUGACUGGCCCUGGACGACCCAGCUUUGGUGCAGAACCCAGCUCUGAAAACUCACCUCUUCUUCCUGAGUCAUCCUAUCUUCCAAGAUUUUUGGACUCCUCUUCAAAACCAGUGUCUCCAGAACCAGCCCUUCACUGGAGGAUUCGACCAGGAUACCCCAGGGUCAAUGGAGACUGAGAACCAUCUUCUGCUUAUAGCCUGGGGUAGCUAUAGCACACUCCACACACGCUCCCCGGAACUCUCCCGAACGCCACCCACGCGGCUCCUCCAGG
Molecule: long non-coding RNA, 603 nt
Organism: Ictidomys tridecemlineatus (thirteen-lined ground squirrel)
Lineage: Eukaryota; Metazoa; Chordata; Mammalia; Rodentia; Sciuridae
Source: RefSeq, a predicted model, not a curated record